GGAGGAAAGCAGGGGAUCGCAAGACCUUGCGCUCAUUGAGCGGCCGAUGCCUGAUUAGCUAGUUGGUGAGGUAAAGGCUUACCAAGGCGACGAUCAGUAGCUGGUCUGAGAGGACGACCAGCCACACUGGGACUGAGACACGGCCCAGACUCCUACGGGAGGCAGCAGUGGGGAAUUUUGGACAAUGGGGGAAACCCUGAUCCAGCCAUGCCGCGUGAGUGAAGAAGGCCUUCGGGUUGUAAAGCUCUUUCAGCCGGAACGAAACGGUCACGGCUAAUACCUGUGACUACUGACGGUACCGGAAGAAGAAGCACCGGCUAACUACGUGCCAGCAGCCGCGGUAAUACGUAGGGUGCGAGCGUUAAUCGGAAUUACUGGGCGUAAAGCGUGCACAGGCGGUUUUGUAAGUCAGAAAGGAAAUCCCCGGGCUUAACCUGGGAACUGCGU
This 447-nucleotide ribosomal RNA is filed under the name uncultured beta proteobacterium. RNAcentral describes it as "bacterial SSU rRNA". It matches the Rfam family "Bacterial small subunit ribosomal RNA", at positions 198 to 626 of the family's 1533-position model. Lineage: Bacteria; Pseudomonadati; Pseudomonadota; Betaproteobacteria. The record is from RNAcentral.